CUAAAUACCCUUUGUUCUUGUUGAUUUAAACAAUGAAAGUAUCAAGAUUACUGCUCCCUUGUAUUUCAGAAAUGCUCGUUGUGGAAGAACUUUAUAAAGAGGCGGUCUUGAACACUGAACGGAAACUGAUUAUAUUCAAUGGAGAACUCGAUCGCAUAAGAUCUGGAUAUUAUCCAUCAUUCUUCUACCCAAAGCUUGCUGCACUUACGAAGUCCUUCCUACCUAUGAUGGAAACUGUGUAUUACAUUCAUAAUUUCAAGGGCCGCAAUGGAGGAACACUUUUUAGGUCUGCUAGCUAAAUUAACUCCCAUUGGUCUAAUUAUGUUGGAAGGUCAUGCUUAGUAUUGCAGUAGCUUAGAGAAUUGGUCUAAUCAUUUGAUGCUAAUAAAAUCAUGGAAGAUGCAUCUUUUUUAUUGUGGACGUGGCUUCGGCACUUAGAGAAGGAUUUCAGCAUCAGCUACAAUCAUUGGUCCAGCAAUCUUAGAUCAGGGUUUGUGUAUUAGUUGUCGACAGUACAAUGUAUAGGUGCAAAAUACUGGUCACAUGUAAUCUAGGCUCUGGUUUCCAUCAAGACUACAUUAGUCUGACAAUGGAACCAUUGGUCUGUGGUCUUAUAAUGCACCGUUUGUAUAUUUAGUACCUCUGGUACUCAAUUAAUAUAUUAUCUAUUUUUGCUGAGCAAAAAAAA
Glycine soja is the source of this 688-nucleotide long non-coding RNA. RefSeq lists it as uncharacterized. The transcript is spliced from 2 exons. The record is from RefSeq and is a predicted model, not a curated record. NCBI's taxonomy places the organism in Eukaryota, Viridiplantae, Streptophyta, Magnoliopsida, Fabales, Fabaceae.